RNAcentral lists this ribosomal RNA (255 nucleotides) under uncultured bacterium. Its description in RNAcentral is "partial 16S ribosomal RNA". It matches the Rfam family "Bacterial small subunit ribosomal RNA", at positions 524 to 776 of the family's 1533-position model. The record is from RNAcentral.
UACGUAGGAUCCAAGCGUUAUCCGGAGUGACUGGGCGUAAAGAGUUGCGUAGGUGGUUUGUUAAGUAGAUAGUGAAAUCUGGCGGCUCAACCGUACAGGCUAUUAUCUAAACUGACAAACUCGAGAAUGGUAGAGGUAACUGGAAUUUCUUGUGUAGGAGUGAAAUCCGUAGAUAUAAGAAGGAACACCAAUGGCGUAGGCAGGUUACUGGACCAUUUCUGACACUGAGGCACGAAAGCGUGGGGAGCGAACCGG